RNAcentral lists this ribosomal RNA (1323 nucleotides) under Tilletia indica. RNAcentral's name for it is "eukaryotic LSU rRNA". It matches the Rfam family "Eukaryotic large subunit ribosomal RNA", at positions 1222 to 2615 of the family's 3401-position model. The record is from RNAcentral. Lineage: Eukaryota; Fungi; Basidiomycota; Exobasidiomycetes; Tilletiales; Tilletiaceae.
UGUUAGCCAUCUAGAAGCAGGACGGUGGCAUGGAAGUCGGAAUCCGCUAAGGGAGUGUGUAACAACUCACCUGCCGAAUGUGCUAGCCCUGAAAAUGGAUGGCGUUAAGCGUGUUACCCAUACCUACCGUCAGUUGUUGUAGGACGCGCUGACGAGUGGCAGGCGUGGAGGUUUGUGACGAAGCUUAGGCAGUGAUGCUGAGUGAAACAGCCUCUAGUGCAGAUCUUGGUGGUAGUAGCAAAUAUUCAAGUGAGAACCUUGAAGACUGAAGUGGAGAAAGGUUCCAUGGUAACAGCAGUUGGACAUGGGUUAGCCGAUCCUAAGAGAUAGGGAAAUUCCGUAUUAAAGUACACGCUUGUUCGUGUCGCCUAUCGAAAGGGAAUCCGGUUAAGAUUCCGGAGCCAGGAUGUGGAUUUUUUGACGGUAACGUAACUGAACUAGGAGACGUCGGCGAGAGCCCUGGGAAGAGUUAUCUUUUCUCCUUAACAGUCUAACCACCUUGAAAUCGGAUUAUCCGGAGCUAAGGUAGUAUGGCUGGCAGAGCCCAACACUUCUGUUGGGUCCGGUGCGCUCUCGACGCCUUGAAAUCCUAGGAACGAAUAAUUUUCACGCCUGUCGUACUCAUAACCGCAGCAGGUCUCCAAGUGAACAGCCUCUAGUAUAGAUAAUGUAGAUAGGGAAGUCGCAAUUAGAUCCGUAACUUCGGAAAGGAUUGGCUUAAGGCUUGGGUACAUUGGGGUUGGUGGAAGAUGGCGGACCUUGCUUGGACUGUCUGUUUACGCGGAUGGACUAGCGAGGACUGUAUGGAUCGCUUCCUUGUCCUCGGAUGACUGGUGACGUUAACAACGACUUAGAACUGGUACGGACAAGGGAACUGACUGUCUAAUUAAAACAUAGAUUGCGAUGGCCAGAAAUGGUGUUGACGCAAUGUGAUUUCUGCCAGUGCUUGAAUGUCAAGGAAGAAUUCAACCAAGCGGGUAAACGGCGGAGUAACUAUGAUCUCUUAAGGUAGCCAAUGCCUCGUCAUCUAUUAGUGACGCGCAUGAAUGGAUUAACGAGAUUCCACUGUCCUAUCUACUAUCUAGCGAAACCACAGCCAAGGAAGGGUUGCAGAAUCAGCGGGGAAAGAAACCUGUUGAGCUUGACUCUAGUUGACAUUGUGAAAGACAUAGAGGGUGUAGAAUAAGUGGGAGCUUCGGCGCGGUGAAAUACCACUACUUUAUCGUCUUUUACUAUUCAAUGAGCGGAGCUGGAUUUAACGAUCCACCUUUUGGAGUUAAGGUGCUUUAUGCGCUGAUCCGGGUUGAAGACAUUGUCAGGUGG